CCGAGUUUACAACUCCCAAACCCCUGUGAACAUACCUAUCGUUGCCUCGGCGGUGCCCGCUCCGGCGGCCCGCCAGAGGACCCCCAAACUCUUGUUUUAUACAGUAUCUUCUGAGUAACACGAUUAAAUAAAUCA
Molecule: unclassified non-coding RNA, 135 nt
Filed under: uncultured Hypocreales
Lineage: Eukaryota; Fungi; Ascomycota; Sordariomycetes; Hypocreales
Description: sequence contains ITS1
Source: RNAcentral